Molecule: long non-coding RNA, 2571 nt
Organism: Pogoniulus pusillus (Red-fronted tinkerbird)
Lineage: Eukaryota; Metazoa; Chordata; Aves; Piciformes; Lybiidae
Exons: 3
Source: RefSeq, a predicted model, not a curated record
AAGAGAAAAGAACAAAAAUGAAAGAAAAGGCAGAGGGAAAAGAAAUAAAAAGAACAAAGGGGGAAAAGCCAAAAGAAGAAAGGAAAAGGAAAAAAGGAAAAAUAAGGGGGAAAUAAAAGGAAAAGAAAAAGAAAAUAAAAGAAAAAGGGAAAACAAAAGGAAGAAGAAUUAAAGUGAGAAGAAAGUUAUUAAGAAGACCUACAGCACUGUGGUGUCCCAGCAUGGCCAUGGCCUGCCCCAGCCUCCUGCUGCCAACUACGGCAGGCUCCAGGCAGCCUCUCCCUGCUGACACCACACAGGCUGAGCCCCACUGAAAGCAGAAACCAGCUCCUUCCUUUUCCCCAUCUUCCUCUUUUCAUCUCCAUCUCCAUCUCCCUCCUUUCAGCACCACCUCCCCUUUUCACAGGAUGUCAGGGGUUGGAAGGACCCAAAGAGCUCAUCCAGUUCAACUCCCCUGCCAGGACAGGACCACACAGUUUAGCUCAGGGCACACAGAACACAUCCAGACAGGCCUUGAAAGGCUCCAGAGAAGGAGACUCCACAACCUGUGCCAGGGCUCUGGGACCCUUACACUCAAGAAGUUCCCCUUGUGUUGAGCUGGAACCUCCUGUGCUGCAGCUUCCAUCCAUUGCUGCUUGUCCUGGCCCAGGGAGCAGUGAGCAGAGCCUGUGCCCCCCCUCCUGACCCUCAGAGAUGUAUGAACAUUUAUUAAAUCCCCUCUCAGUCUUCUCUUCUCCAGAUUGUGCUGAGCUGGAACCUCCUGUGCUGCAGCUUCCAUCCUUUCCCACCAUCCCUGCCCCAUUUUCCCCUUGCCCCCAAGCCCAGAGCACCUGGGUGCUGUUGGAGUCUCCUCCCGCCCCAGCUGUGGCCACUUUGCCCUCCCUGCCCACUCCCCUUUAUAAUCAGCUCAGGAGGGGCAGAAGCCCCAAGCUUGCCCAACUGGGCAGAGGGAUCCUCCUCCUGGCAUCGCUGGCCAGAGCAAGAGCAGAGUGACAGAGCCCUGGAUCCUCGUGCCCUGGUUCCUCGUGCCCUGCCCCAUCAGGGGCAGCUGGCAGCUCUUGCUGAACCUCCCAUUUUUUUCCAGCCCUUUUGUUUCUCAACAGCAACCAAAAAGAUAAUGUUUACAUUGGAAUCAAGAGUGGGAGCCUGCAGAUCACAUCCCAGAGAGACACAGGUGCCACAGAGUGACAGCUGCAGAAGGGAUAAGCUGGAAAUGGGAACCUUUUCCUAGUGGGACACUUCCUGCUGACCAGAAGAGCUUUGAACUGCCACCAUUUGAUAAGGGAUCCUCAUCAAACCCAGCUGCUGCUCCAUCUUUUUUUUGUUCCCCACUCCUGAGAUGGCUCUGGGGUCAUUUGUCUGUGCUGGUUUGCAGCUGAAGAAUUAAACCCCGUGGGAAUGUGCUGGGAGCACAGUGUGGGAGUCUGCACACCAAGGCUGGACACAACCAGGGCUAUUCCCAGGGCUGCUUUGCCAGGGUGGCCAUCCCAGGUGUCGUGGAGGGGCCAUGGGCUCAAAAAUAGGCUUAUUUAUGCCUUACCUUGCCUGGAUAUGUUUUUCUGCUCACACCAGGGGUAAAUGUAUUGAACAAGCACAAAGGGGCACAACAGACCUGGUGCCAUAAAGCCUGGCAUGCCCAGGACCCCUGAUUGUGUGAGCCCCCACACACCCAGCUCAUGCCUGCCUAGUGUAAGGCUCCUGUGAUUCCCACAUUUGGAAGGUCCAGGCCUGUGGCUUUUGCCCAUUAUGGUGAGGUUUGGCUGCCUGCCAACCUGAUUGGCCAUUCUAGUGGCCAAGGGGCCAGAAUUCAUGGCCCACAGUUAAUGAAUGGGGGUGCACAGCUAAAGAAGGUGCUUGCUCCCCCACAUUGCUUGCUGCCUGUCUGUGUGCUCACUUGCAGAGCUCACUUAAGCCUGCCUGUAUGUUUGUGGAGCUCAGACUCCUGUGCAGCAGUGCACCCUGUUGCAUGCCCACUGCCUCAUUACCUGGUGGGUGCCACUGGCACGAGCUGCCAGGAGCAGACCCACUUGUGAGCAGCCAGCGUUAGAGCAUGCUCAGACAGCACAGCAUCCUGCCUCUGCACCUGAGCUCCUGCCUAUGUACCCCUGGAGAGAGCAUCCAGAAGAGUCCAGCAGCACAAGGUCAGAGACUGUUUCCCCUGAAGCCAGGAGGAUUCCAGCCUCAAAGGCCACAGGCAGAGACCCUGAGGAAUUGGACACUCACACAGGCUGUGGUGCAGCCCCGGAGGGUGAUUAUUGAUCAAGCAGGAAUUGUGAGCAAAUGCUUUGAUGCCUCUGUAAUUUCUAUUGCCUCCUGCCAUAGAGCAGAAAGAGCUUUCAGCCCACCUGCUGGGCCAGCAGUAUAUGACCCCAAGUGGCAUUAAGCCACAGGGAAGAUCCUCUCUCUGUUUAAUAGUUAGAAUGCAUGCUAGUCAUUAACAAGUUGCUGUUUGAGGUAUUCCUAUAAUGCCCUCCAUGACUGUGUAGAUCCAUGUGAAUAUUAAAGUUCAGUGGUUGGGGGUGGUGAGAGUUGAAAAUAUUGAAGUUAAUAAAUAUAUGUUUUGAUAAAAUA